AACUGGACACAGCACUCCAGAUGUGGCCUCACCAGGGCAGAACAGGGGGGGAGGAUCACCUCCCCCGACCUGCUUGCCACACUCUUCUUGGCGCACCUAAGGAUACACUGACAUUGGCCAUCAGGGCAUACUGCUGGCUCAUGGCCAACCUGUGGUCCAUCAGGAUACCCAGGUCCUUCUCUGAAAGCUCCUCUCCAGUAGGGCAAUUGGAUCCUUCUCCUUCCAGGUUUUGCCCCAGUUUUGAGAAUGAUGUUGAAGCUACAUCUGCAGAAGAGGCUACAGGAUAGCUGCAUUCUGCCUCUUUGUGUUCUCUCAUCACACAGGAAGAGAUGGAGUUAUCAUGGCUUCAUGGAUUGAACCAGAGAAGGACUAUCUGCUGAGAAGCAUCACUUCUGAAUAGUUAUUUUGCAGUUCUAUCAUUGCUAGAGGAAAGUAAUUGCACACUUGACAGAACAGACUUUCUUGACUCCUCAUAGUUUGCCAAGUGAUUGAGAGAAAAAUUAGAACGCUAUGGUCUGAACCUGGCUUCAAGUGUGAACCAGUUGCAAAAUGUGAAAUAAAAUAAGUGUUGCUGGCUUUGUAAUAACAGUCUGUCCUUUGUCAUUGCCGUGGCAUUUGACAGUGCAAAAACAGAAAUAAAAACUCUUCGUGAACAGGAAUGAAAUUUCAGAAGACAGAAGUUCCUACGAGCAACAUCUCUUGAAUUUUGAGUAGCAGAAGAAAUUGUCUCUGCUAUGCUUGUUAUGUUAUCACACGUUUCAACAAGACCAAAGGGCACUUAGAGCUAAAAUGCCCAGUUCCUACUACUAAUUAUAUCAGCUUGAGUUGACCAUUUUCACAGUGUAUGCUGCGGCUGAUACUGGAGUUUGGGCUCCUGCACCACUUCCAUACUAUCCAAUUUUGGUUUUUUUUGUUUUGUUUUGUUUUGUUUAAUUUUUGUCUGUACAUGUUUGAACUAGUUCAAGUCCCAGUACCACUGUUUAAAUGAAUCCCUGUUUUCUUUCACUGCUGAUUUACUGAGAGCCUGUACAGAAAAAUUUGUAUCUUCUUUAAGAAAGGAGAGCCUUGUCUUUGCAGAAACAGAGAUUUACUUGUAUUUCCAGUGCAAAUUUCAUUUUUUCAAUGCACAAUGUUAAUAUUUUUAGACACAAAUCAAAGUGCUAGUGGGGAAAGGUUCAUUUUGUUGUCCAUAAUUUUCCAACCCAUUUUUAUACCUGCCAGAAAUUGCUCAUAAAAUGAGAUGUCAUCUAAUUUUCAAUAAUUUAUUGGUAUUUCUUUCAGAUCUUCCAUGGCCCAUAACAGAAUCCUUAUGUCAUGAGCUGUCAAUAGAGUUUCUGGUUUCAAAACUUCAAUCUAAAUAA
Molecule: long non-coding RNA, 1361 nt
Organism: Gallus gallus (chicken)
Lineage: Eukaryota; Metazoa; Chordata; Aves; Galliformes; Phasianidae
Source: Ensembl